This 90-nucleotide transfer RNA is filed under the name bacterium. RNAcentral's name for it is "tRNA-Ser". It matches the Rfam family "tRNA". From Rfam's summary of the family: Transfer RNA (tRNA) molecules are approximately 80 nucleotides in length. The record is from RNAcentral.
GGAAGGGUGCAGGAGUGGUUGAACUGGCACGCCUGGAAAGUGUGUAAAGCAGCAAUGUUUUCGAGGGUUCGAAUCCCUCCUCUUCCGCCA